GGUGAUUUAGCUCAGUGGUAGAGCGCUUGCCUAGCAAGCACAAGGCCCUGGGUUCCAUCCCAGCUCCG
RNAcentral lists this transfer RNA (68 nucleotides) under Rattus norvegicus (Norway rat). It matches the Rfam family "tRNA". From Rfam's summary of the family: Transfer RNA (tRNA) molecules are approximately 80 nucleotides in length. Their secondary structure includes four short double-helical elements and three loops (D, anti-codon, and T loops). Lineage: Eukaryota; Metazoa; Chordata; Mammalia; Rodentia; Muridae. The record is from Rfam by way of RNAcentral.